CGUUAUGGCGGCUGUGCGCGGGAGGCUUAGUGCCUACCGGGUUUUCCUGAAUGCAUCCGAGUCCACCCCGUGUACAGCUGCAACCCUU
Molecule: non-coding RNA, 88 nt
Filed under: Pseudomonas soli
Lineage: Bacteria; Pseudomonadati; Pseudomonadota; Gammaproteobacteria; Pseudomonadales; Pseudomonadaceae
Source: RNAcentral